ACGUAGGAUGCAAGCGUUGUCCGGAUUUACUGGGCGUAAAGCGCGCGCAGGCGGCACUCUAAGUACGUCGUGAAAUAUCCCGGCUCAACCGGGAGGGUGCGAUGUAGACUAGGGAGCUAGAGGUCGGUAGAGGGGGGUGGAAUUGCUGGUGUAGCGGUGAAAUGCGUAGAUAUUGGGAGGAACACCAGUGGCGAAGGCGGUCCCCUGGGCCGGAACUGACGCUGAGGCGCGAAAGCGUGGGUAGCAAACGGGA
RNAcentral lists this ribosomal RNA (253 nucleotides) under uncultured prokaryote. RNAcentral describes it as "partial 16S ribosomal RNA". It matches the Rfam family "Bacterial small subunit ribosomal RNA", at positions 525 to 777 of the family's 1533-position model. The record is from RNAcentral.